Molecule: unclassified non-coding RNA, 404 nt
Filed under: soil metagenome
Description: partial contains 5.8S ribosomal RNA, internal transcribed spacer 2, and large subunit ribosomal RNA
Rfam family: 5.8S ribosomal RNA (bases 1-121)
Source: RNAcentral
GAUGAAGAACGCAGCGAAAUGCGAUAAGUAAUGUGAAUUGCAGAAUUCGGUGAAUCAUCGAAUCUUUGAACGCACCUUGCGCCCUUUGGCUAUUCCGAAGGGCAUGCCUGUUUGAGUAUCAUGAACACCUCAACUCUCAUGGUUUGCCAUGAUGAGCUUGGACUUUGGGGGUCUUGCCGGCCUAUGGGUCGGCUCCUCUCAAAUUAAUCAGCUUGCCAGUGUUUGGUGGCAUCACAGGUGUGAUAACUAUCUACGCUUGUGGUUUUCCAUCAGGUAACCUUCAGUGAUGGAGGUUCGCUGGGGCUCAUAAAUGUCUCUCCUCAGUGAGGACAGCUUUUUUGAACGUUUGAUCUCAAAUCAGGUAGGACUACCCGCUGAACUUAAGCAUAUCAAUAAGCGGAGGA